This 253-nucleotide ribosomal RNA is filed under the name uncultured bacterium. Its description in RNAcentral is "partial 16S ribosomal RNA". It matches the Rfam family "Bacterial small subunit ribosomal RNA", at positions 524 to 776 of the family's 1533-position model. The record is from RNAcentral.
UACGAAGGGUGCAAGCGUUACUCGGAAUUACUGGGCGUAAAGCGUGCGUAGGUGGUUUGUUAAGUCUGAUGUGAAAGCCCUGGGCUCAACCUGGGAACGGCAUUGGAAACUGGCUUACUAGAGUGCGGUAGAGGGGUGUGGAAUUCCUGGUGUAGCGGUGAAAUGCGCAGAUAUCAGGAAGAACACCCGUGGCGAAGGCGGCUCUCUGGGACGGUACUGACGCUGAGACGCGAAAGCGUGGGGAGCGAACAGG